CACUCCAGUUUAUUUAUUUAUAUCUUAACUUGAGACAGUUUUAGCAUUUGCUUUGUAAAUCUUGUCUGGGAGGGAGAAUUGUAACACAAGAAGUCUCAAAAUGCAGUCUGCUUGCCUCUCCAGAGGCUAAAAUACCUUGUUUUGCCUGUGAUUGCAAAACUUCCAAUGAAGAUAACCUCUCCAGGAACAAUAAAAGGAUGAUCACAGGGUCAAGCAUGAGACUUCAGCCUCUGCUUCUGUUUGCCCAUUUCAGUGAUGAGCUGUAGGCAACACUGAUCAUUCUCCCUGCUAAUCUGAAGUUGGGUGUUGUCACAAACAGGACCAGAGGAUCUCUGGACAACAUAGUAUGGAAACCACUAGCUUCACACUUAUAAAAUCUCCACAGGAAAAAAAGGGGAAGGUUGCUGAAAUCUAUAAACCCGAGGUGCCUGCUUAGCCUAAAAGCAGAUGUGCUUGCCUGCCAGAACAGAUCUGUAUUCAGGAUUACCAAACUGACUGGGCAAGUCCUUGCAGCUCUUGGAUUAGGCUAUGGGCACGCAUUUUGCCGUCAGUGAUAGCUGGAAUGUGCACACGGCUCUUAGCGCAACUUAAUUAACAAAAGAGCAUGUCUGCAGACAUCUUUCACCACCCUCCUUUCCUUCAAACGAUACGCCUCAAAGACAAACUGAUUAAAGGAGGACGUUUCUUUAUUCAGCAUGACUUCCCUUUCUGCGUGGCUGAGCCGCGUGUAGCUGGAAGGAACGCAGACACGAACGCUGCAGCCUGACAGACGAAGACUCCCGCACCAGCACCGAGGCGUUUCUUUUGGCUGCGGUUACAGCCAGAGCCUUCUUGCAGUGGUUCUGUCGACCCCCUCCAAACCCCCUCUCUGGGCAGGAUCCAGAGCCGGUAACAGCUUCAAGGAUGAUCCCUACAGCGGGCUGAGGAGGAACCUGUUGAAGGAGGGCAGGGGAAACGAAUGGUGUUUGGGGAAGGGUCAGUCACCUGGAGGCGGUGAGCAGGGCCGUCCCGCACCGCUCGCUUGCUCCCAGCAAGCACGAGGGCCUCGUUUCAGACCUCCUUGGCCCUGAGGACCGAACACCUUCUCGGCGUGUGCGGCUAAGCCCGCGAUCCACCGCUCCCUCGCGGCGGAGCAACCAAAACCCCCCGCGGGACUCGAGGAAGGGUGCAGAGCUCCGCGAGGCUCGGGCGGGCAGCUCCGGCCCAAGGCCGCUGCACACCCACCGGCCAGGCCCUCCGCACACAAGCACCGGGGAGGAGAAAACAGCCCCAAAUGGAUCCCGGUACGUCACGACCAGGACAAUGGUUUCAUGCAUCACAAAUUUGCUAUUGUGGACAAGAAGAUGCUCAUCACGGGCUCCCUCAACUGGACCACGCAAGCUAUCCAGAACAACCGGGAGAAUGUGCUGAUUGUGGAAGAUGCAGAGUAUGUGAAGCCUUUUCUGGCUGAGUUUGAAAGGAUUUGGGAAGAAUACAAUCCCAUCAACUAUGCAUUUUUUUCCAAAGAAAAUAAGUGAUUAAGCUGCUUCCCAGAGCUGGAGGAGUACUUAACAAAUGGCAUUCAUGGAUUUUGUUAUUAUAUGUAGACCUCAAUGUAUGAUCUAUUUGGCUGUAAUUUAGCUCCUCUGCAGAAGUGAAGUGCUUUCUACCCUAGGGUGUCACAGAUCCAUUGCAAGCUAAAUGAAAGAAAAUCACCCAACUGUUUGCUAAGCUAUUUUGUGAGCAUAGCUAUGAUAAAACUGUGUUGAUAGAGUUCGGAAAUUGAAGCAGUCUCAGUGCUAUGCCCAGGAGAAAACAAGGUAAUGUUUGCAUGGUGCUUGAUAUUUCAACAGUGAAACAGACAUUUAUCAGCUUGGGAUAUUGCAGAAUGGAAUUUUACACCAAUGGCUCCUCUGCACUGCUAGCUCUAAAAGAAGAGUUGAGAGGACUAUGAGCAAAGGUAGAGUUCCUAUAGCGAGAUUAAGCAACUUUGUUACCUUUUUGUUAGCAUUAAUUGUUGAAAGUUUGUAAAUGGGAUUUUGUGGAAAAUAUGAAGAUAGAAAUUAAAAAUACAUAUUGAAUGUUAAUUACUAUAGAAGAUUUGCUUUUUCUUUCAUUUCAGACUAGUAAAGUCCCAGAGUAAAAGUGACAGAAUGCAUACUAGCACCAGGUCCUCUGCGAGGCAGCAAGUGUAGGGAAGUUUCUGGAAAGCAGUGAGAUACACUUUUUUAGGAGCAGUCAGCCUUGUCUUAAAAGCGAAUAUGGCUGUAGUUAGGACACUGAUUUUCGGAAAGGCACUGGGGAAGGAAAGCCCCAUCCAUACGGGUGACAGGAUACAGCUUCCUGAUCUGAUUCAAUGAUCUCAGGAAUGCUUGAAGGUAGCAGAAGGAUGGGGGACGGGUGACAGAUGACUAUCAUGGAGAAGGCAAGC
Long non-coding RNA from Apteryx rowi (Okarito brown kiwi), 2410 nucleotides. The record is from Ensembl. NCBI's taxonomy places the organism in Eukaryota, Metazoa, Chordata, Aves, Apterygiformes, Apterygidae.